CCAGCAGCCGCGGUAAUUCCAGCUCCAAUAGCGUAUAUUAAAGUUGUUGCGGUAAAAAAGCUCGUAGUUGGAUUUCUGUUGAGAGCGACCGGUCCAUACCAUGUAUGCGCAUCUGGCUUGCUCUCGGCAUCCUCUCGAUAGACGUUGCUGCGCUUGAUUGCGUGGCGCGGAUCUCGGGACUUUUACUUUGAGGAAAUUAGAGUGUUCACGGCAGGCUUUCGCCAGAAUACAUUAGCAUGGAAUAAUACUAUAGGAUCUUGGUUCUAUUUUGUUGGUUUCUAGAAUUGAGAUAAUGAUUAAUAGGGACAAUUGGGGGCAUUCGUAUCAACACGUCAGAGGUGGAAUUCUUGGAUUGUGUUGCGACGAACUACUGCGAAAGCAUUUGCCAAGGAUGUUUUCAUUGAUCAAGAACGAAAGUAAGGGGAUCGAAGACGAUUAGAUACCGUCGUAGUCUUUACCAUAAACUAUGCCGACUAGAGAUGGGGCAUCGUUCAUUUACGACUUGCUCCGCACCUUAUGAGAUAUCAAAGUUUUUGGGUUCCCGGGGGGAGUAUGGUCGCAAGACUGAAACUUAAAGGAAUUGACGGAAGGGCACCACCAGGAGUGGAGCCUGCGGCUUAAUUUGACUCAACACGGGGAAACUCACCAGGUCCAGACAUAAUAAGGAUUGACAGAUUGAUAGCCCUUUCUUGAUUUUAUGGGUGGUGGUGCAUGGCCGUUCUUAGUUCGUGGAGUGAUUUGUCUGCUUAAUUGCGUUAACGAACGAGACCUUAACCUGCUAAAUAGGAGCGCCUAUCUUCGGAUAAGCGUCUUUCUUCUUAGAGGGACUUUAUGCGUUUCAGCAUGAGGAAGUUUGAGGCUAAAACAGGUCUGU
Molecule: ribosomal RNA, 874 nt
Filed under: uncultured eukaryote
Lineage: Eukaryota
Description: SSU rRNA
Rfam family: Eukaryotic small subunit ribosomal RNA
Source: RNAcentral